CAGUGGUCCCCAAAAAAUUGG
This 21-nucleotide non-coding RNA is filed under the name Rattus norvegicus (Norway rat). The record is from RNAcentral. Lineage: Eukaryota; Metazoa; Chordata; Mammalia; Rodentia; Muridae.